RNAcentral lists this ribosomal RNA (253 nucleotides) under uncultured bacterium. Its description in RNAcentral is "partial 16S ribosomal RNA". It matches the Rfam family "Bacterial small subunit ribosomal RNA", at positions 524 to 776 of the family's 1533-position model. The record is from RNAcentral.
GACGUAGGGGGCCAGCGUUGUUCGGAAUUACUGGGUGUAAAGGGUUCGUAGGCGGUGUAGCAAGUCGGGAGUGAAAUCUCUGGGCUUAACCCAGAGGCUGCUUCCGAAACUGCUGUGCUUGAGUGUGGGAGAGGCGCGUGGAAUUGCAGGUGUAGCGGUGAAAUGCGUAGAUAUCUGCAGGAACACCCGUGGCGAAAGCGGCGCGCUGGACCACUACUGACGCUGAGGAACGAAAGCGUGGGGAGCAAACAGG